AGAGAGAGAGAGAGAGAGAGAGAGAGAGAGAGAGGUUAAGGAGGAGGGGGUUCGUAGUACACUACACUGCACACACACACACUAUAACUCUCUCUCUCUCUCUCUCUCUGCUUUUCUAUGC
Molecule: microRNA precursor, 121 nt
Filed under: Prunus dulcis (almond)
Lineage: Eukaryota; Viridiplantae; Streptophyta; Magnoliopsida; Rosales; Rosaceae
Description: sRNA ncRNA
Source: RNAcentral